This 69-nucleotide transfer RNA is filed under the name Dicamptodon aterrimus (Idaho giant salamander). RNAcentral describes it as "tRNA-Trp". It matches the Rfam family "tRNA". From Rfam's summary of the family: Transfer RNA (tRNA) molecules are approximately 80 nucleotides in length. The record is from RNAcentral. Lineage: Eukaryota; Metazoa; Chordata; Amphibia; Caudata; Dicamptodontidae.
AAGAAUUUAGGAUAAUAAAACCAAAGACCUUCAAAGUCUUAAAUAGAAGUUUAACCCUUCUAACUCUUG